CAAGAUGGCUAUACGGCUGCGGGAAUUUUAUUCACGAGGAAAGUCCGGACUUUAUACGACGGCGUGCUGGUUAACGGCCAGUGAAGGUGACUUUAAGGAAAGUGCAACAGAAAACAACCGCAACUUUUAGUUGUAAGGAUGAAAAGGCGAGGUAAGAGCUCACCGCACUUACGGUGACGUAGGUGGCAGUGUAAACCCCACGUAAAGCAAGAUAGGAAUAAGUAACAAAGGCGUCGUACCUACUUAUUCGUUUUAUUCGCUUGAACUAUGCGGUAACGCAUAGUCUAGAUAGAUAGCCGUAUUAAACGACAGAAUCCGGCUUACAGGCCAUCUUGUGUU
Molecule: RNase P RNA, 339 nt
Filed under: Clostridia bacterium
Lineage: Bacteria; Bacillati; Bacillota; Clostridia
Description: RNase P RNA component class A
Rfam family: Bacterial RNase P class A
About the family: Ribonuclease P (RNase P) is a ubiquitous endoribonuclease, found in archaea, bacteria and eukarya as well as chloroplasts and mitochondria. Its best characterised activity is the generation of mature 5'-ends of tRNAs by cleaving the 5'-leader elements of precursor-tRNAs.
Source: RNAcentral